Molecule: non-coding RNA, 42 nt
Organism: Schistosoma rodhaini
Lineage: Eukaryota; Metazoa; Platyhelminthes; Trematoda; Strigeidida; Schistosomatidae
Source: Rfam
AAGCUGACGAGUCCCAAAUAGGACGAAACGCGCGUCCUGGAU